AAUAAACAAAAAUCAACACUGAAAGCCACCUCUAAUAACAACAUAUUUCAGCAGAAAUCUACAAUUAAUACAUCACAGCCCUAUUAUGGUGUAACUUCAAUGUAGGCUGAAAGUGAAAAAUAAACUUGUAGAAUAAAAAAGGAAACAAGAUCAGACAAAAUAAUAACACCAUUUCUUCAUUUCUCGGCACUUUAUGAGCCCCCCUUUGCAUGUUGAAAGUCAAAAAGGUGUACCUGGAAAUUGAGCAAAGUGAGAGGAAUCAGAGGUCUGUUAAGCCAGCAACAAACAGCAACAACAAAACCAAUUCAAAGCCCAGGCAGUAGUAUGAAAUAACCCCAAGGAGUAAUUUCAAUCAAAUAACACCAGUAAACAACUUAAAAUUAUCUUGAAUGGACUAGAUUUAACUCGAGAACAACCUCAAGAAUCACUAAAACCUUAUCCUAGAACACUCAAUAGAACAGUAAUUUCCUAGACAUUAAUCCCCUGAAUUUUAGUACCUUUUCCAAUGUAUGUUUUUGAUUCCUUCCAGAUUUUCAGAAGGUCCAGCAUCGCUUUCAAUUUAUGAAACAGUGGAAUUUAUGCAACUUUUAUAUUUUUU
RNAcentral lists this long non-coding RNA (598 nucleotides) under Nicotiana benthamiana. RNAcentral's name for it is "long non-coding RNA (NBEN_LNC023443)". The record is from RNAcentral. Lineage: Eukaryota; Viridiplantae; Streptophyta; Magnoliopsida; Solanales; Solanaceae.